AAAGAAUCCAACAAAUAUAUUUGAAAAAAUAAUAAAUUAAUUAUAAUUUUUUUUAAAAAAUUAAAAUUUGGAUUGACAACCAUUAGCAAGAUAAAGAAUCCAACAAAAUAAAUAAGAGAUGGGAAGGAGCCUCUUCUAUCAACAACAACUCAUCUUGAUAUCGCAACUGAAUAACUAAUUAAUAAAAAAAAAAUAAAGAAAUUUUAAUGAAUAAAUAUUACAUAAAUUAUUUUAGAGAUAUGGUAUCAAAUGGAAGGCUCCUAUCAUUAGACCCAUAUGAUCAUUUAGAAUUAAAAUUGAAUUGAAAUUAAAU
This 313-nucleotide unclassified non-coding RNA is filed under the name Hevea brasiliensis (rubber tree). Lineage: Eukaryota; Viridiplantae; Streptophyta; Magnoliopsida; Malpighiales; Euphorbiaceae. The record is from RNAcentral.